UGAUGGAGCUAACUAAAAUUCAUUAGUAUGUAGUAUACUAAGAAAAACGUAGUAAUAGGAUAAUGACGAAAUACUACUAAGAGUACUGACAAAUUGCCGUGCCAGCAGUUGCGGUAAGACGGCUAGUACGAACGUUAAUCCUCUUUAAUAGGCAUAAAGGGUUCGUAGGCAGCUUUCUAGUUCUAUAGAGAGAUAGAAUCAGAUAGAGGAUAAUUAUACAACGCUAGGAGUAGGGCUUAUAUCCACAGAUACCUAGUAGAGUGUUAAGAGCGAAGGCAAUUAUCUGGGUAUGAUUGACGCUGAGGAACUAAGGUUUGGGAAGGAAACAGGAUUAGAGACCCAGGAACUCCUUACAGUCAACGAUGAAUGCUAGAUGUUAGUUAUUUUAAUUAGUGUCGAUGUGAAAUGAACGUUAAGCAUUCCGCCUUGGUAGUAUACUCGCAAGGGUGAAAUCAAAAAAAUUAGUCGGUGUCGAAGCAAACGGAGUGAAGCAUGUUGUUUAAUACGAUAUUCCG
This 515-nucleotide ribosomal RNA is filed under the name Femsjonia cf. peziziformis. RNAcentral describes it as "SSU rRNA". It matches the Rfam family "Bacterial small subunit ribosomal RNA", at positions 384 to 961 of the family's 1533-position model. Lineage: Eukaryota; Fungi; Basidiomycota; Dacrymycetes; Dacrymycetales; Dacrymycetaceae. The record is from RNAcentral.